CGUAGGGGGCUAGCGUUGUCCGGAUUUAUUGGGCGUAAAGCGAGCGCAGGCGGUUCCUUAAGUCUGGUGUGAAAGCCCACGGCUUAACCGUGGAGGGUCAUUGGAAACUGGUCGACUUGAGUGCAGAAGAGGGAAGUGGAAUUCCAUGUGUAGCGGUGAAAUGCGUAGAGAUAUGGAGGAACACCAGUGGCGAAGGCGGCUUACUGGUCUGUAACUGACACUGAGGCGCGAAAGCGUGGGGAGCAAACAGGAUUAGAUACCCUGGUAGU
This 269-nucleotide ribosomal RNA is filed under the name uncultured prokaryote. Its description in RNAcentral is "partial 16S ribosomal RNA". It matches the Rfam family "Bacterial small subunit ribosomal RNA", at positions 526 to 794 of the family's 1533-position model. The record is from RNAcentral.